Molecule: ribosomal RNA, 301 nt
Filed under: uncultured bacterium
Lineage: Bacteria
Description: partial 16S ribosomal RNA
Rfam family: Bacterial small subunit ribosomal RNA
Source: RNAcentral
CAGCAGCCGCGGUAAUACGGAGGGAGCUAGCGUCGUUCGGAAUUACUGGGCGUAAAGCGCACGUAGGCGGCUUUGUAAGUUAGAGGUGAAAGCCUGGGGCUCAACUCCAGAAUUGCCUUUAAGACUGCAUCGCUUGAAUCAUGGAGAGGCGGGUGGAAUUCCGAGUGUAGAGGUGAAAUUCGUAGAUAUUCGGAAGAACACCAGUGGCGAAGGCGGCCCGCUGGACAUGUAUUGACGCUGAGGUGCGAAAGCUAGGGGAGCAAACAGGAUUAGAGACCCCUGUAGUCCCUGUCUCUUAUAU